Molecule: long non-coding RNA, 1192 nt
Filed under: Triticum aestivum (bread wheat)
Lineage: Eukaryota; Viridiplantae; Streptophyta; Magnoliopsida; Poales; Poaceae
Description: long non-coding RNA (TAES_LNC001577)
Source: RNAcentral
GUGUGCUUGAUGCUACCGCUACAAAGAAGGUAAUAAAAGAAUAUUCGCUGCUUCUAUUGUCUUGCAAGUUAAGGAAGGGUCUGAUGUUGUGCGGGCAUGCAUGGUGUGUGCUCUGUGUGUGUUAUUUGUGCGAGAUGUGAGCUCUGUGAUGCUCUAAAUAGGAGAAUUUGUGUUUAUUGAGAUACCAUAGAUGGGUGCCAUUAGUCUCCCAUUUUUAUUUGGGCUUAUCAAAGUACACCAGGGAGAGCUAUUAUGUACGGAAGUUCAUGUAUUGAUGCCCCCCGGAGUCCAUGUAGCUCUCCUGUCGUGCUGCCCUCAUCGGCCUCGGCUAUGGACGUCAGUCCAAUCCCGUCGCCCCAGGCCGUUCACUGUCGCAGUGACCAGGGCGUUCAUAGAAAAUGUUGAUUAUAUUGAUAAUUAAAACUAGUCUUUGCUCACUUUUGAAUUGAAAAAGAAAAGGAGUCUCUGUAAUAAUAAGUUCAUAGAAAAAACAUAAACAAAAUAAACAAAAAACAUGAAACACAAAAAAUCCAUGAAAUAUACCGGGAAAACAUAGUAAGUUCUAAGUAAAUAAAUAUAGAAGUUCAUAUUUUGAAACGAAUGAAGUAUUUGGGAACUAAAAUGAAGUAUUUCAAAGUACAGAACUCCUGUUUAGGUUUCUUUGUGUACUUCUAAUGUUACUAUGCAUGAUCUUGUCGUUAUUUUUACAUGUUUUACAUGAUUAUGGUUAUUUCGACCUUGACAAAUUUCAUUUCAUCUUGUAUCCUUUUUUUCCGCUCAUCUUAUAGGUCAAAGGAGCUCCCUUCAGUUCAAUGGAUUCAAGAAAAUAAUCGCUGCCACUACAUCCUGAGUUCAAGGGAUUCCUUAGGGGCCUUCUACACCGUCUUGCUAAUGUUGCCAUUGCUGGACGCCACAACCAUGCUCGUCGUUCUUAUGCUGCCAUUCACAUACUGCUCCCUGCUUCACUCCACUGAGAUCCAUAGGAAUAAGUUAUAUUCAGUUCGCCACUUUUACAAUUGAUGCUCCUAUGUUAACAAAAACAAUAGUUCAAGCUCCUAAAAAAGCAAUUAUAUGUAUGCUGCAUCACUUUGGGGAACUACAGCAAACAAAAUGAGGAGAGCUUGGUAGUACUUGAUUUUUUAUAGUACUACUUGAACCCUUUCUGUUGAAUAUAUUGGAUCCUAUUUAUUGC